AGAGUUUGAUCAUGGCUCAGAUUGAACGCUGGCGGCAGGCCUAACACAUGCAAGUCGAGCGGAAACGAGUUAUCUGAACCUUCGGGGAACGAUAACGGCGUCGAGCGGCGGACGGGUGAGUAAUGCCUAGGAAAUUGCCUUGAUGUGGGGGAUAACCAUUGGAAACGAUGGCUAAUACCGCAUAACGCCUACGGGCCAAAGAGGGGGACCUUCGGGCCUCUCGCGUCAAGAUAUGCCUAGGUGGGAUUAGCUAGUUGGUGAGGUAAUGGCUCACCAAGGCGACGAUCCCUAGCUGGUCUGAGAGGAUGAUCAGCCACACUGGAACUGAGACACGGUCCAGACUCCUACGGGAGGCAGCAGUGGGGAAUAUUGCACAAUGGGCGCAAGCCUGAUGCAGCCAUGCCGCGUGUAUGAAGAAGGCCUUCGGGUUGUAAAGUACUUUCAGCAGUGAGGAAGGGGGUGUCGUUAAUAGCGGCAUCUCUUGACGUUAGCUGCAGAAGAAGCACCGGCUAACUCCGUGCCAGCAGCCGCGGUAAUACGGAGGGUGCGAGCGUUAAUCGGAAUUACUGGGCGUAAAGCGCAUGCAGGUGGUUUGUUAAGUCAGAUGUGAAAGCCCGGGGCUCAACCUCGGAACUGCAUUUGAAACUGGCAAACUAGAGUACUGUAGAGGGGGGUAGAAUUUCAGGUGUAGCGGUGAAAUGCGUAGAGAUCUGAAGGAAUACCAGUGGCGAAGGCGGCCCCCUGGACAGAUACUGACACUCAGAUG
RNAcentral lists this ribosomal RNA (766 nucleotides) under uncultured bacterium. RNAcentral describes it as "bacterial SSU rRNA". It matches the Rfam family "Bacterial small subunit ribosomal RNA", at positions 8 to 753 of the family's 1533-position model. The record is from RNAcentral.